Long non-coding RNA from Anolis carolinensis (green anole), 454 nucleotides. RefSeq lists it as uncharacterized. Lineage: Eukaryota; Metazoa; Chordata; Lepidosauria; Squamata; Anolidae. The transcript has 3 exons. The record is from RefSeq and is a predicted model, not a curated record.
UAAGGGAAGCAAAAGCCACCUUGGAAUGGAAGGCGAGAUUAUUAACCUCAUUCUUCAAGAUGCACCUGGCCUUAAAAACAUUUAAUAUGUUGGGCAUGAAUCCAAGUGACAUUGAAGGAGACACACUUCCAGCCUCGUGAUCCCCAAUUUUCAGUCCUCUUCAAGUACCACAAUGGCUGGGUCUCUGAAGAAUAUUUGGCAAAGCAGGUGUUCGUUUCUGCAGAUUUACUUCCAAAAAAACAAAUGCAAAAGAAAAGAAGAGGGCUCAUGGAAAGUUCUUACUCAAGUGGAAGUAUCUCAAUUGGCUGGAUGGCACUGCCAUGUGGUCAGUGUGUCAGUGAAGCCACACCAAUGGCAUUGAAUAGCUGCCGAUAUGUAAAGCCCACCUUGAAUCCCCUUCAGGGAAAGAAAUAUCUUAAAUAAAUAAGUAAUAAAUAAGCCCCAUCUGAACAAA